This 465-nucleotide ribosomal RNA is filed under the name Vreelandella stevensii. RNAcentral describes it as "partial 16S ribosomal RNA". It matches the Rfam family "Bacterial small subunit ribosomal RNA", at positions 338 to 795 of the family's 1533-position model. The record is from RNAcentral. Lineage: Bacteria; Pseudomonadati; Pseudomonadota; Gammaproteobacteria; Oceanospirillales; Halomonadaceae.
CCUACGGGGGGCAGCAGUGGGGAAUAUUGGACAAUGGGGGCAACCCUGAUCCAGCCAUGCCGCGUGUGUGAAGAAGGCCCUCGGGUUGUAAAGCACUUUCAGUGAGGAAGAACGCCUGGUGGUUAAUACCCAUCAGGAAAGACAUCACUCACAGAAGAAGCACCGGCUAACUCCGUGCCAGCAGCCGCGGUAAUACGGAGGGUGCGAGCGUCAAUCGGAAUUACUGGGCGUAAAGCGCGCGUAGGUGGCUUGAUAAGCCGGUUGUGAAAGCCCCGGGCUCAACCUGGGAACGGCAUCCGGAACUGUCAAGCUAGAGUGCAGGAGAGGAAGGUAGAAUUCCCGGUGUAGCGGUGAAAUGCGUAGAGAUCGGGAGGAAUACCAGUGGCGAAGGCGGCCUUCUGGACUGACACUGACACUGAGGUGCGAAAGCGUGGGUAGCAAACAGGAUUAGAUACCCGAGUAGUC